GGGUGAACUUAGGUUUCCCUUUGCAGGACAAAGGCACACACCCCCCGCCAGCCCAUCCUGGGAACGCCACCCCGGGAGGCCUGCUCCCACCAGGCGUUCAAAGCCCACAGUCUGUCUCGCUGGCUGCAGCGGGGCUGGCCCAGGGCAAUGCCGUCCUCUAGCUUUGGAAUCCAAUGACCCACCCAGGGCUCUGAGCCCCGUCACCAAAGAUGCAGCGUCUCCAAGGGCAAGUGCGUGUCCCUCCCACAAACGGACGUCUUGUCACGUGACUGCUCCGCUCCGGGGGGACUCGAGUUUCCCUCGCCUGGGCAAGCCCUUUCCCAGAAGGAAAAAAAGGGGGGGCGGGGGUCAGACUGCUUGCUGUUCCUCGUUUUCCACGUAAACGUGCUCACCUCGGCCUCCUGCCAACGACAGCGGGACAGAGGCAGCUGAAUUUCAGCAGGACGAGCCUCGGCCUUCAGGGCGCUGGGGAACCUUUUCUUGCAUUUGUUUUAUCUGGUGGGACUUGCGACAAGGAACGAAUUCGUCGACAGCUUUAAGGGGUCUCCAGGCAAGCACCUUUUGGUAAAGUCUCCCAACAGCCCAGAGUCCGACACACGGGAGAACGCUGGCAUUGGGGCUGAACCCAAGCCGUGACCUUCGUUCAGAAUGUGUGCAACGACGCCCCGGGGGCCGGGUGCUGCCCCAAUCCUAUUCCAGAGGAGCGCCCUGCGGCCUGAGACGGCACACUGUGCACGCACGGAGCUUAUGACCUGCAGGAGCCCAGACUCGAAGCCAGGUGGACCCCUCUGCAGAGCCCACAACCCUCACCGCCACAGCUGGACAGCUCCCGGGUGGAGAUGGAGAAGGCUGGCCAGCCCCUCCCACCUCCCUGUGCUUGCUUCCUCCACCCCCCAGCAGGCUCUCUCUCUCUCUCACACACGCACACGCACACGCAUGCUCGCACACACACUGCCCUCCUGCCCCCUCAAGCCAAAAUGACCCUCAGCUUCACCACCUCCUGCCUCCCAAUCGAAAUGUUCCUUUGGGUCCUGCGAUUCGGGCGGAGAGCGAAGGGAAGAGCUGGGCCCCCACUGGGGGUGGGAACAAGUAGCCCGGAGGAAGGGGUAUCCGACGGGGACCUGGAGCGCGCACGGGCGAGAGGCCCAGAAAGCAGAGGAAAGGGUUUUCCAGGCGGAGGACCAGGCGCGUGCAGACGCAGGGCGCACCCCGUGGCUGGCCCAGACGUCCCCGCCCUGCACAGUGCCCCUCCCCACGGGACUUCCCUUCUCAGCGGCGGCUCCACCAGCCACCCUGGUGCAGGAGCCACAAAUACCGACAGCACUCUGGCACCUGCCCACUCGUCCGUCCAAACUGUCACCAGAUCCCCCUAAAUAUAGCCCGAGUCUGCCCACUCCUCUGCCUCAUCUUCGCUGCCGCCACCGGCCUUCCGACACCCACCCCCACCUCGUGGGCUAUCGUCACCGCCUCCUGACAGGCCCCCGCAGGGGGGUGGGCUCCCUGCUUAAAGCUGCUCUCCGGGGCUCGGCCCAAACCGUCUGCCCCAA
This is a long non-coding RNA of Phyllostomus hastatus (greater spear-nosed bat), 1547 nucleotides long. RefSeq lists it as uncharacterized. The transcript has 3 exons. The record is from RefSeq and is a predicted model, not a curated record. NCBI's taxonomy places the organism in Eukaryota, Metazoa, Chordata, Mammalia, Chiroptera, Phyllostomidae.